Molecule: ribosomal RNA, 377 nt
Filed under: Puffinus huttoni
Lineage: Eukaryota; Metazoa; Chordata; Aves; Procellariiformes; Procellariidae
Description: 12S mitochondrial ribosomal RNA
Rfam family: Bacterial small subunit ribosomal RNA
Source: RNAcentral
GAUACUUACCUUACUGAAGUAUCCGCCUGAGAACUACGAGCACAAACGCUUAAAACUCUAAGGACUUGGCGGUGCUCCAAACCCACCUAGAGGAGCCUGUUCUAUAAUCGAUAACCCACGAUAAACCCAACCGCUCUUUGCCAAAGCAGCCUACAUACCGCCGUCGCCAGCUCACCUUUCCUGAAAGUAUAACAGUGAGCACAAUAGCCCCCAGCAUCGCUAGCAAGACAGGUCAAGGUAUAGCCUAUAGGGCGGAAGAAAUGGGCUACAUUUUCUAGAGUAGAAAACUUUACGAAAAGGGGUAUGAAAUUACCCCUGGAAGGCGGAUUUAGCAGUAAAGCGGGAUAAUAAAUGCCCUCUUUAAGCUGGCCCUGGAG